Molecule: ribosomal RNA, 426 nt
Filed under: Triticum aestivum (bread wheat)
Lineage: Eukaryota; Viridiplantae; Streptophyta; Magnoliopsida; Poales; Poaceae
Description: partial small subunit ribosomal RNA
Source: RNAcentral
AUGGAGAAGGCGAGGCGGCGGCAGGUGCCGGCGUUCGGGGAGUGGAACUACUGCUACUACUACGACGAGCCGCCGGCCGCGGUGGCGGUGGCCGUGGCGGCCGAGUGCUACGCGCCGGAGCCGGAGGCCUGCAGCGACGUGUGGUUCAGGUACUCGCCGCCACCGCGCAAGCCGACGCCCAAGAAGACGCGGAGGCCGGACCAGGGCGACGUCGCCCGUCGGGAGAAGGGGGAGAGGCGCGGUGCCAGGGCCCUGGACGCUGCCGCCGGCCUGCCGCGCGCCACAGCCAAAGCCGGCUCUAGGGUGGUGCGCCCGGUCGACGAGGACCUGUACCAGGUGCCUCCGCCGGAGUUCACGUCCCGCCGCCCAAGGCGGAAGAGGAGCCUGCUGAUGGGUUGCCUGGGCCUCAACUCAUGCGUCGCCUGA